This 70-nucleotide transfer RNA is filed under the name Acomys sp. RNAcentral describes it as "tRNA-His". It matches the Rfam family "tRNA". From Rfam's summary of the family: Transfer RNA (tRNA) molecules are approximately 80 nucleotides in length. Lineage: Eukaryota; Metazoa; Chordata; Mammalia; Rodentia; Muridae. The record is from RNAcentral.
GUAGGUAUAGUUUAAAAAAAACCUUAGAUUGUGAAUCUAACAAUAGAAGACUAAGACUCUCUUACUUACC